RNAcentral lists this unclassified non-coding RNA (264 nucleotides) under Hevea brasiliensis (rubber tree). The record is from RNAcentral. Lineage: Eukaryota; Viridiplantae; Streptophyta; Magnoliopsida; Malpighiales; Euphorbiaceae.
GAAUUGGCUACUACAUUGCCAUCUGACAAAUGAAAGUGCUUUUGACUCCAACAAAAACUAUAUAGCUACACUAUCCAAUUCAUUAUAUUUGUAUACUCAACAUCACUUUGAGUGCUAACUUUUUAGUUUUCUGGUUGGUAAUGUAGGGAUUAAGCAUUAAACCUCCACUGCAAUAAUUACUUACAGGCAUAACAAUUAAGCCAACCCCAAUUAGUUGCUAGUAUUCUGGUUUUAAUAGAGACGAUGCAUUGUAAAAGCUUUUAA